RNAcentral lists this ribosomal RNA (253 nucleotides) under uncultured bacterium. Its description in RNAcentral is "partial 16S ribosomal RNA". It matches the Rfam family "Bacterial small subunit ribosomal RNA", at positions 524 to 776 of the family's 1533-position model. The record is from RNAcentral.
UACGAAGGGGGCUAGCGUUGCUCGGAAUGACUGGGCGUAAAGGGCGCGUAGGCGGCUUGCACAGUCAGGCGUGAAAUUCCUGGGCUCAACCUGGGGACUGCGCUUGAGACGUGUGGGCUUGAGUGGGGAAGAGGGUCGUGGAAUUCCCAGUGUAGAGGUGAAAUUCGUAGAUAUUGGGAAGAACACCAGUGGCGAAGGCGGCUCACUGGCCCGAUACUGACGCUGAGGCACGAAAGCGUGGGGAGCAAACAGG